RNAcentral lists this ribosomal RNA (460 nucleotides) under uncultured bacterium. RNAcentral's name for it is "partial 16S ribosomal RNA". It matches the Rfam family "Bacterial small subunit ribosomal RNA", at positions 338 to 795 of the family's 1533-position model. The record is from RNAcentral.
CCUACGGGUGACUGCAGUGAGGAAUAUUGGUCAAUGGACGAGAGUCUGAACCAGCCAAGUAGCGUGAAGGAUGACUGCCCUAUGGGUUGUAAACUUCUUUUAUAUGGGAAUAAAAUGUUCCACGUGUGGGAUUUUGUAUGUACCUUAUGAAUAAGGAUCGGCUAACUCCGUGCCAGCAGCCGCGGUAAUACGGAGGAUCCGAGCGUUAUCCGGAUUUAUUGGGUUUAAAGGGAGCGUAGGUGGAUUGUUAAGUCAGUUGUGAAAGUUUGCGGCUCAACCGUAAAAUUGCAGUUGAAACUGGCAGUCUUGAGUACAGUAGAGGUGGGCGGAAUUCGUGGUGUAGCGGUGAAAUGCUUAGAUAUCACGAAGAACUCCGAUUGCGAAGGCAGUUCACUGGACUGCAACUGACACUGAGGCUCGAAAGUGUGGGUAUCAAACAGGAUUAGAUACCCUAGUAGUC